Molecule: ribosomal RNA, 492 nt
Filed under: uncultured bacterium
Lineage: Bacteria
Description: partial 16S ribosomal RNA
Rfam family: Bacterial small subunit ribosomal RNA
Source: RNAcentral
AGUGAACGCUGGCGGUAGGCCUAACACAUGCAAGUCGAACGGCAGCACAGUAAGAGCUUGCUCUUACGGGUGGCGAGUGGCGGACGGGUGAGGAAUACAUCGGAAUCUACUUUUUCGUGGGGGAUAACGUAGGGAAACUUACGCUAAUAUCGCAUACGACCUACGGGUGAAAGCAGGGGAUCUUCGGACCUUGCGCGAUUGAAUGAGCCGAUGUCGGAUUAGCUAGUUGGCGGGGUAAAGGCCCACGAAGGCGGCGAUCCGCAGCGGGUCUGAGAGGAUGAUCGGCGACACUGGAAGUGGGACACGGUCCAGACGCCUACGAGAGGCAGCAGUGGGGAAUAGGAGACAAUAGUGGCGAGCCUGAUCCAGCCAUACCGCGUGGGAGAAGAAGGCCUUCGGGUUGUAAAGCCCUUUUGUUGGGAAAGAAAAGCAGCAGGUUAAUACCCCGCUGUUCUGACGGUACCCAAAGAAUAAGCACCGGCUAACUUCGUG